AUUCCUGGCACUCAUGUAAGGCAGCUCACAAUUGCCUGUAACUCCAGCUCCAGAAACCCAGCAGGCGCCCUCUCCUGACUUAUAUGACUUUUAUCGUCAGUACAUGUCACAAGAAAACAUUUAAAACGACACCAAAACAAUCUCUGAAAUCAUGGUGCAUGGAGGAAAAAGGUGAAGAAAACAACUGUUGGCUUCUUUUGGCAUGAGACCUUGAUACAAUUUGGGUUCCCCAAAACCACGUGAAGGGUGAUAAAAUAGAAAUGCUCAAAACUGACUUAAAAAAAUAAACAGGCUUUACAAAACCCUCUUUUUUUUCUGAACCCAGCCACUUCUCUACAUGGUCUGCACUUACAGUAGAUACAUUCAUUAUUGUCCAAGGGAAGACAGCCACUGCCUUUCACUUAAAGAGCUUGGUGGAGAGGCUGAAGGGAUACGCUGCAGCCGAAGGUGAGUAGAAUGUUCCACAGAACAGAAAACUACAUGGUAACAGCACUGAGCAUGAUGGGGCAAAGGGUCUCUGGGCAGGAGGUGGAGGAUAGGGAGGAGUCCAGAUCUGAAGCAGUGGGGACCAAAGGAUGGAGUAGGGUCAGCGGUGGCCGCCAUGGGCACUGGGCAUCUCCCAGCCUGAGCAGUCCUGGGUUCCUCCUUAGCCUAGCAACACUGCUCUGUCAGUGAGAGGUGGGCCCUGGAGUUUGGAGAGGGAGUGUGGUCUCCUUUCAGGCACAGCAGCAUGGAGGGGGUAGGCAGGCUUCCAACAUAUGCCACGGGAGGGACUUCUCGCCUGGUUCUGACUGUUUGGUAGAUGGUCAUUAAGGCAAUAAGGACUUUAGCAAACUAGAAGUUAAGGGCAGCUAAAUUCAGCCAGGUCAAAGGUGAACAAAAGGUGAGAAGGGGGCCCUUUCUCAGCUACUUUCCCCAAGCUCAGCAAACCUCAGCUCCUGGAGCACAGGUUUACAGUACACAAUAACAGAGGGCUUGCCCUUUGGGAGGCUCCAUGGAAAGAAGGCUCAUCCAAGACUUGGGGCAACCUAACCAGUUUCUGUUCUCCAGACUGUUUCCUGUGGUCACUUUCUGGUGAGUGGCAGGUGGAAGCACCAAGGUUCAUGCAGAAGUUAGGUCAAGACCCCAGCUAUCAUCCUGCUGGUCUAUCUCAGUGGCCUUGAACACCAUAGAUCCUGGAAAACCAGGCCAGAUGCUUGCAUGCACCAUAAGACCUACACUCAGCUGGAGAGUGGGCUCCCUCCCCUGAGCAGGUGGAAGGAUAGUUAUGAAGGCCAUGGAACUAUGAGGUCCCACAUGGCCUCUGGGGAGUGGAGAAACAGCUCUUGUGGUUUGAAUCUACUCAGAGGGAGGCAUGCAGAAGAUAGAGGAGAGCAGAACUAUUCUCUUUCUCCAUGCUCUGAACAAAGGAGACAAAGCCUAUAAUGCUAUGGGAAAGGUGACCUCAACCAGCUACCUGUUUUUCUGGGCUAACUUCUGGCAAGAGACUGGGUGGUCUGACUGCUAAGGCUCUGGAGUAGAAGAAGGGGAAGUGGGACAGUUUCUGCCAAAGGGCACGGCUACCUCCCUGCAUACGAACCAAGUAUAACCUGGGUAAAUCAGGCCACCCCCCUUCCUUCAGCAUGCGAUAGCAAGCCAUAAAAGGCUCUUUAUGAGAUACCUUGGGCCUGCAGGUAUAGCAGCUUGGAGAUGCUAGAAGUAAAUUAUUUAGGAACUCCCUAAGGGACCUUGGUGGGGAUGAGACAUUUAUACGAGAAAACACCAUAAUGGCCAGCUGUCUGGGCCAGAUCCAGGCCUGGCCCCUCUGUGGUAGAAGUUGUCUUAGUCAGACCCUAAGAAAAGUGGGUAACAGGACUGUAAGGAUUACGGCAAUAAACCAUCGACAAAAACGUGACAAGCAUGCUGUAGGAAUAUGGACAAAACAAGAUGGGCAGCAAAUUAUCUGGUCAUUGCUAAGGAGGACUGGUAGAUGACUUCCUUGUCUAAACCUACUUUAGUGCACAAUUAAACCUAUCUUCUAAGUAGUGCACAGUACAAGCCAAAUCCUCUAAGAAGCAAUCUAGCUUAUCUCUUCCUUUCCCUGACAGAAUAUUCAAAGCCACUUGGGAAGGGGCUACAGAGCCAUUUUUCUACAGCCACUGGGACAUUGCAGUCACCUUUAUAGUUUCUCUGGCUCUGGUCAUACCAUGCCGAGAAGCAGGCAACACUCUUUAGAACUCCUGCCUACAAGCUUGGGAACAUAAAAUUCAUGGCAGGCACCUUGUUGCCUUGCUAGCCCUGCAGGUAUCCUUCUGAGGAACCUGCUGAGCUCAGUGGAGUAGCAUCCGAGGGCUGGAGGAUUACUGUGAACAGCGGCUGGGGUGUGGCAUCAGCUGUGGCUGGGUAGUGUGCUUGCUCACCGGCCCUGUCUCUUGGAAGAGUUUAAGAAUAUGGGAACAGAGAAAGCAAAGUGUAACAGAAAAAAAUGGAAGGUUUUCUAGGAAUGAGACUGCCCAUACAUAAGGAUGAUAUCUGAAGGUACACAGGGAAGCCAUUUUAAGAUAGUGAGAUUAUGAAAGAAUGUUUGCAAAUUUGGUUGUUUCCUAGCUUUUUUUUUGUUUCCUAGCUUUUUAAACAGAGAAAAUAAUGAUAAUUAUCGCCAAUAUCAAGCAUAUCAAUUUUAGGGCUUAUGCUCCUAAUUUGGAGAAGUGGCAGCUUCUUUUCUUGAUGGAACAAGUUGGCUGUGUCACUUACUGGCCAUAUAAAAUCACCUUUUCCCCACAGAGCCACAAGAGGACCUCCUGUGGCCAUAGAAUUCAAGAAAGAACCUUGAACCUUAACAUUUGACCCAUACCUUGCAGGGGGUUGUGACAAAUCUCAGAGGACACUACAAGGAUGCCCAGGGUCCUUUCCUUCAGCUGCCUGGAGGGACUUGGGGGACUUGGUUGGGGACAGGAAGCUGCCCCUUGGGAAUAGGCUGUAAAGGGCUGGAACAGCAUUCUUUGAAGGUAUAAAGCCCUUUAAAAAUCUCCAACUCAGGAAUUUGAUCUCUUUCAAGAAACAUCCUCCAGUCUAACUGGAAUAAAAAACAUUUUUCAACGUCAUAUGACAAAGGAAAACAAAGACUUUUAAGGCCUGGAGGCUGUGGCCAGUGAGCCGAGCCUCAUGGUCUUCUCCAUGGUAAUGCAGUAAAAAUCAAGGGGCUUCAGCAGCAGGCUGUGGACUGUUCCAAAAAUGGGUACAAAAGCACACUCUAGGUUAGAGCUUUAUAAGCUGUAGGGACAAAUCUCAAGGGUCCUCCAGAGAAAAAAAUGGCCACAUAAUGGGGCUGCUAAGCUCUCUGAAAGAGGUUAGCAAGGGGAGGAGGCUGUGUCACUGUCGAGGAAAUAAUGUUAAUGGAAAUCCUUGAAGCUACCAUUUAGCAUGAGGAAAAUACUUGAUAGCUUCUGGUGACUCUAUGGAGAUAAAGUUGACGGAGAGGUGCAAUGAAGAAACAGGGAACACUUAAACGUGAAGACUUUGUGGAUCAAAAGUUGUGGCUUUCUGAGAAAGGCUAUUUAAAAAAAAAAAGGCUGUAGAAUGUUCUUCCUGGGAUGAAUGGAGACAACCUUGAAGGAAGCCAUCAAGGCAAGGGAUGGGGAGAUAUAUGGAUAGUUAGACUACUAUGACCAUUAAGGAAGACCCAAAGCCCAUCCAGCAGGAGAGCUUGAAGGAAGGACAAAGAUGGAGAAUCUGCUGUUAUUCUCAUUACUAUUCAGUGCCUCUCAAAAGCACAGAUAAAGAGGAUACCAGUUCAUUCCUUGUCCUACUAGCCUUCCUCUCUUGGCUCAUGCAGGCUGGCAAGUGGAAUGUGACCCGUGUGUUCCCUUCAGUCAUGAUCAUGGAAGAUACUUAGGAGAGUCAACCAUGGUGGUUGGGGAUAGUCCGCACAGAUUUCAUAAAUUUAAAGGAGCUCUGUGAUCUGGUGGUCCUACAUCAGAGAGAGACAAAACAGCUCCAUCAGUUCUGCCAAGAUCCCUUGCACAUUGUCCUCUCUCUGGGUGUGGCUUGUCUCACCUGUAAAAAGGAAGACCCGAGUCCUCAGGGCUCUCAGGGCAUCUCUGGCAUUCAGGUAUGUUCCAUUUGCUGUCAGCCGGAACAGGCAAGAGUAAGGGCUGAAUUCUAUAGCCUUGCACCCAGAGCGUGAGCUUGCUCCUGGGAAGUAGCAAGACAAUGGAGACCAACAUCAGCACACUGGCUCUGCUCCCCAAAUCUCUGGCCAUAGAGGCCGUGCAGGAGAGAAACAGUGCCGACAUAUUUCUCUGCAGCCAGCCUUGGCUUUGAGGGAAAAGAGGAAAUGUACUCAAUUCAUUCUGGAAGAUGCCCACCAGCAGCUGACAACAAUGGAACAGUCACAGUCAUGAACACUUGAGUGCCCACAAGGAGGAAGAUGCCUGUGAGUGUGUUCUGAGUCCUCAACUCUGAAGAGGGGAAAAACAGAGACCUUCAAGAACUUGUACUGAUUCAGCUGGCCAUUGGACAGAUAGUUUUCUGUAAAACCAGUAAGCCCUAAGUCCUUGGGAACCUAACUAACAUCAGCUUGAGAAGGAGGAAGCACCUGUUUGCAUCUUCCCCAAGACAAGCAAGUGAGAAGUCACAGAUCCUGGAACCAAACAUCACAAAGCUGCAAAUACCAGUGGUAUGGCAUGUUGGAUCCCAGCAAGGGUCAUCUGUCAGAGUCUAGGAUGGGGAAAGAUGGGGUGGCAAACUGCUAGCACACCCAGGGAAUAAACACACCCACAGAUGCAGACUUGACAAAGAAUAUAAGAUUCUAGAGCAAGGACUUAACUCCCUUGACUGGAGAUACUGUCAUAUCCCCUCAGUCUGUUCUGUGAGGGAACCAUCUUGCUGUAGAGAUUUCCUGUGGAAAUCUUGACAUAGAGUAAGUUCUUUAAUACACAUCUUUCCCCUGAGCAUGUCUGGGUUUCUUGAGGAGGAGGGGAGAAGCUGCCAAGUGCUGUCUCCAAACAGCAGUUCAGUCUUACAGGUAGCUCAGGACCCAUUUUUAUAUUAAGUGCACUGAAGACCCAGGAAGGGUAACUGUCUCCCUUUCUGUCACCUCCCUUCUUGAUCUCACAGAUGAAGAAACUGAGGCACAAAAAGGCCAUCAAUUUUUCUUCAGUCUUUCCUGUGGAUCUGGUGCCAUUCCAAGCAAGGAAAACUCUGCAUCUCUUUCUGAAUCCUUGGACGUCUCCCAUUGUGUGCCUAACUCAACAUUUGCCAUCUAUCUACCUUUCUAUCUAUAAUAUAUUAUACGUACUCUUAUGUAUAAAAUAUAAAUAAUUCUUAGACUCCCACUUACCUUCUUGUCCUUUCUUCUCCUUUAUAUAGCUAGGACUGAAAAAAUAAUGUUCCAUGACCAGGGAAAACCACAGUACUGCUCAGAGGGAGAGAUCGAGGGAAGGAGAAAUGCCCGCCCUUGUCUCCAGGGCCUGGUGCUUUAGAGCUGGACUGCUCAGCUGUUCAUUGGAAUGUAAGUCAACAGAAAUCAGCAAUGGACACAGCUGUACCUGAUGAGUCAACUUCCACAACCUGGUUCUAAGGAACAGUAACUACAAUAGAGAUAGAUAGAUAUGCUAUGUUGAACCUUGAGUACCAAACACAAGUUAUAAAUAGAAUUAUGCUAAAGGAAAGCAGACAGACAUCAUUGGGACUAAGUCUGGUUGACAACCAGUCACCGUUACGAUUAAAAAGUAAACUGGCCUGUUCACUGCGCACCUCCACGACACUUCUUAAUGCACUAAGUACAUUUUAACCAUGCAAAAAUACACAACAUCUUAACUAGGUUUUUUUUUUUUUGUAAAAAAAAUCAAACACCAACAUUAUGCAUUUUUGUUAAUUAUAUUGGUUAAAGUAACAGCCAGUGGCUGCCAGAUAUCAGAUACAUCAUAUACAUAUUUUUAUACAGAAUCUGGACAACACAACAUUACACAUCAGAGAGAGAGAGAGAGAGAGAGAGAGAGAGAGAGAGAGAGAGAGAGAGAGAGAAUUUGUUCCUUUGUGGGUUUGUUGCUGUUCAGUAAAAAAAAAAUAAAGUAAAAUGUGAGAGGCAAUGCUAAGAAGGAGAACGCAUCAACAGUUAGGGAUACACGGGGAGAACUGCUAACUGGAAAUACAGGAGGCAAAGAGUUCAUAUUUAGGUCUGUGUCUAGAAUGUUCUUCACUAAGAAACAAAAGAGCACAACAGGUGUAUCGGUUUGGAGAAGCAGAGGGGCGGUAACAUCAUGCUGUCUUUUGCCCAGCACGUUUUCAGCGGGAAGGAAAAAAAGCAUAAUCACAAAUCAACUCCAAAAGCUUAGUGUUUUUAAAAACGUCCUCCCUUGCCCAGGAUGCUGGGUGACGCAGGGGUGGGGGCUGCUCAGUCGAGAGAGUCCCUGGCAAAAGUUGGACCCAAACCGUUGGCCUUGAAUUUGUUGGAGAUGUGAGCUGUUGUGGGAACUCACAGCACAAUGGGAUGCGACGAGGCUUGCUCUUCUAGGAAAGGUCUCCCUGGCACCAGGGCAGGGAUGUCUCCAUGACAAGUGCCGCUAGUCAGGCCCCAAUCCUGCCCCCUUAAACUUUUGGUGUCAACACAAUCUUAAGACUUCAACCUGGAAAGAAAACAAGGCCUUGAACACAAGCUAUGGAAGCUCUGCUGUGGUUAUGAUUAGAUACAAAAAUGUGAAAAUCCAGAUGUAAUCAAAAAUACAAAAUCAGUUUCAAUUAGGAUUCGCUUUUGUUGUUUUUGUUUAAAUACCAUUACAGUGCAAGGGUUUUCAAAUUACAGUAAAAGUUAUGUGUCUGCUUACAGUAACUAGAAUAAGUAGCUGAUUUUGUUCUAGAAUCAGAGGUCCCUGAUAAGUGAGAAUGCACCAAUCGAAAUCAACUCAGAAAAACAGAUGGCGGUCUUAACAGAGACAGGGUGCUUAGCGGGUCGUGCCUCCCAACGCUAGGAAGGAGAGAGGGUGGUGGUUUGCACAAUUCGCCAGCACACGGUGUCUACUCCUUCAAAACUGGUAACAAUUUCAACGAGAAAAUAACUAGAAAAUUGGAGUUGAAGAAUGGAGGAUCCCAAGGGAGUCCCGCAUCACUGAGCUUUCCCUAUUCAUUGUACUUAGAAAACAAUGCCUGAGCCUCCUGGCCACAAUGCAUUGUGCUUCAGUCACUCUUCCAGGCUGUUGGGAGAGAGGGUGGCGCCACCUACUGCUCAGAAAGAAAGCAACAGAAGCAAGCAGAGAGGGUGAGGAGGGUAGACCCACCUCCAUUUGGUAAAUGGACGGCCGUUGCCAAGGAGACAGUGCCUCUCACAGUCUCAUGUACUGGAAGGAAGGGGAAAAACAAAUCAAAACAACAACAACAACAACAAAAACAUCAAGAAUCUAGGACAUCUAAGAAUGGGUGACCCACUUCCUGAGCCUCACCUAGGGGCAAUAGGCUGGAAAAGAGUAAGCUGGCUAAAAGGACUGACCAGGUCCACGUCUGGGAUAUGAGAAGAACAAGGGAGCCCGUGGAAGACGUGCCUCUUGAGACCUGCAGCAUCAGGAAUAUGGGGUGUUUUAGGAGGUCCGUGAGGUACUGGAGAGGCACUUGGUCACCCUUUCUUUGACUAAGGUUAGGGGUGGGGGCAAACAUUUGGUACUGGACACAGACAACAGCAGACCAGAAGCUGAGAGAAGCCACAAACCCUGCCUGUUGGUCUUUGGCCUUCCUCAUGAAGCUCUCUGGAGUCCAAGUCCAAGAAAGCCACACUCUGCCCUAAGUGAUGGUGAACCUGGGGCCGAUUUCAAAAGAGGCCGUUUUGGCACAAGAGUUGCUUUGGGAGCACCAUUAGCUAGAAGUGUGUAGGAUGUGGAAAGCAGUGUUUCAUCUCUGAGCUGUGGCUGGUAGCAUGAUCCAUUGGCUUUCUCCUAGUGACCUGUGUAAAUGGGUAGAUCAUCUACUCACAGCUCCAGCCUAGUAAGAACCUCUGAGUCCUCUGCGCUAUCAGGAAGUCUCCCUGCUUGACACUGCGUGGGAAGUGGUGGUGUGAGUCCAGGAAGUACUCCGUGGUUGGUUAAAAUCUGGCCAUUAGAGGAAGCAUGGGCUACCUCUAAAAUGAAGUACGUUCCUUGAUUUUGGCAAAAAGGGGCUUCCACUCCUCUCUUUGGCCAGAAGAGACCCUACCUCCACAUCUCUCUGAACAAGUUUCCCCAGAGUUAGUCACCAGGCCACAGCCCACUCUCUUAAAGUAAUCACCUUGGAAAUGCUCUUUGUUCCUGGCCCAGUCUGACCCACAGGAUAGCCCACAGUGUGGUCCUUUGCACAUUGCGCUGGGCACCUCUAAAGUGACCGGCACCUUCAAGACAGCUAAUGUCCAAACAGGCUUUGCUGGGGAUGGAUCUUCCUGUCAAUGGAUGACUUUAAAAACCUGGUCUGCCUUAAUAGCCUCUACAAAUGCUAUAGUCUUCAAAUAAAUCCCCAGAGUUCUGCAUAAAUAGCCAGGCCUCAUCUCUCCAGAUGAUGCAUCAUUUAAAGAUUUGUGAUAACAGAUGUUGUUCAUGUGAGGAAAGGGACAGCAUGAAAUUAGGGGACGGGAUGACAGAAAAAGCAAACUAAAAGCUAAAAGUCCUUGUCCAGGACACAUCUGCAUGAGUCACUCUUGGUACUUGGUGCCAUUAUGGAGCUGCCCCUGGCUGAAAGACUUCACCAACUGAUGCUGUUGGCACUGGCAUGGUGGCAAGGUGGCUUCUGCAUUCCUAACGCUUGGCGUGGUUUGCAUAUCACCAAACUGACACUGGAGUCUAGGGUGGUUUCUUGCUUCAUUGUAGUCGUGUGCCUCAGGCAGGCCAGCUUCUCUGACCUCCAGCCUCCUCCGGUUGGGUGUGAAACCACUUAAUUCAUAGUGAUCAGAGGCAAAGCACACAGCACUCAUUCAGGAAAUGCCGUGGGAAGCCUCUUUGUUUCUCUUAAACACAGGUCACCUUUCCAUUCUGUGGAGCAUUAUGACUUUCCCUAUCCAGAGCACAGGAUUAGGGACACACUCAUCUGCUGUAGAUGUCUUCUAAAGGACAAUAGCAUGGGUGGGGUUCUUUUGUGCUUGGCAUUAUUUGAUUCAGUGGUUAAUUUUUGAACAUCUAAGAUGUCUGGCUGCCAGCUUAGCACCUUGUCUGAGGACAGUCAGAUCUUCUCCUUUCACACUUUGAAUGUUUGUUUUGAGACAGGUUCUUUCUAUGUGGACCACCAUUAUCUCCUUGGAUUUUUAGACUUAUAAACAUUAGGGUGAGUUAGGAAAGGGGGAACUGAACUGUUCCUUUGUUAGAUGAGUGGGUGUGCUGACAACAGAAUUCCAGGCUAGCAAAGAACAUUAAAGAGUAUUGUCUGUAUUUUCCAAGGAGGAAACUGCAUUAGGGCUAGGGUAUUAGGCUGACAUUGCAUCCAGUAUGCCACCCUCCUACUUGGAUUGUGGUGAAACUAGAUUCUCCUUGAUAGGAGCUGUGCUUAGGAUGUCCCAACAUAGCUUCCUCAAUCCCAGAUUUCUCUUUAUAGAACUUUAUUCUCAAUCCCCUUGGAAAAAAACCACUGGCUACAUGCCCGGCCAACUCAUAUGCUCCAGUUUGCCAAGUCAAACUAGGAAAUGGUAACUCUUUCUAGAAGGUUUCAAGAAAGAUCAAUGCCAUGUCUCAUCACUGUUAAGCAGUGAGAACUUUAAAAUAUCGCCAUCAAUGGCCACGAUGGACUAACUGGGAGAUAAAUACACACUGCUCUGGAAAUAGGCAUCUGGUGAGUAAUUAAUAUAACGAAAAUGAUACAUACUGCCUUAGGAACACUGUUGAUAAAGUAUUCCAGCAGAGAUCUCAGAAUCAGCCAUGACAACAGGAUGGAACAGUGGCAAAGAAGGAGUCAGUGACAAUCAGUUUGUGCCCAAAAGGAUGCUGGGGGACUGGCCUAUGGCUUCUGAGCUCACAGGGAGCUUUGAAAGUUGGCCAAGUAAUGCAAGGCUACUUUCUCUAGUCCUCAGAGAAUAUUCUUCUCCCUUAUUCUCAGUAACCAUAACCCUGUCAUAGAAUAUAAAUUCACAUGACCUCUCUAAGUCCCUACAGCUCAGGACAGAAGCCAAUGGUCUGUGGAUGUAAAGACAUGGUGGUCAAGAAUGAUAGCUAACAAGGCAUAGUGACAGUCUCAUUUCUCCUGGACGUGCUGGAAUAGAGGGGCUUAUUCUUCCAGCUUGAGAUCAAUAUUAGCAUAAUUUGGGUGCAAGAAACAUCCUCUGUCUUGGAGAAGCUUGGGGAAAAAGGAACAUGUUAUCACUGUCCACUCUCUUUGUCUUUUUUCCUGGUUGAGACAUUUUUCCGAAGUGAGCAUUGCUUUGGAGGAGGGCUCUUUGGGCCCUUACAAUCCUCUACAAAUGGUCAAGAGAGACAAGCAUUGGCAUUCAGUACUGGAGAAUUUCAAGGAAUGGAGCAGGGAAGAAGAUGAAGUACACUGUGUUUGUUUCCUCAUCAAUGUUCAUAAUUCCUAAAUUCAGGAGGUACUUUAAAACAGGGGGAUGCUCAACAGACAGGGGAGGCACAGAGCUUCUGAAAGUCAUGUCACCACCUCUGUUUUUGAAACUCAGUGGUGUUAGACCAUCUUCUUGUCUUUUGAAUCCCAGAGAGUACCACUCCACUCAACCCCUUUGAAUUGGAUUUUCCCGAACAUGAGUGAGAUCUAAGUGAGGGACACUUUGACCCACACACUCAGCAGAAGACAACCUGUCAUGAUGUCUGAUGUCUGUGAGGGUGAGCAAAGGUCGAGUGCCAUUAGCAGGUGCAGAAUAAGGGGGAUGCUCAACUUUAAUCUCCUGAAGAUCAGGACUUAAAACACUCAGAUGAAGUUGUAGUCCAUCAUUUCUGGAUGGAUGCUAGGCUGAUAGGGCUGAGUUCUGAUCUGCUGAAAAAAACCCUGGAUUGUGGAUUGGUAACAAUUGCUACUAUAGGAAGAUUAAAGAGAUAAUAACAAUAAGAAAUAAGACUAAGGGAAAUGGAGGAAAUUUGAUGGCUGUUGCUCUAGUUCAAGCACUAAACGUGCCAUCCUCUGCAUCUCACAGGCUAUGCUCAGGCCAAGGUCCAUCUUCAAUGCUAGGCUACACUUGGAAUUGGCAAUCCCAGUUCUGGGAAGAAAGCCACACCUUAUGCAUGCUGGAGAUCAGAAUGCAUUCUUAUCAGGAAGAAAACAAUCUUAAGUAGACACAUGAUACCUGACUGAAGUUAUAGCUAACCCUAGUGUUUCAUCUCCAAGCAUCCCUUAAACCCUUCAAAAUCUGAUCUAGAGGCUACCAUUUCCAAAUCUUUGCAUAUACUUCUUCUUGGAAAUACCAUCUUUCGGCAGAUGCCCACUGCACUGUACACUUCUCUUGUGCUGUUUCCUAUGUUGUGAUAGAAUUUGUGUGCAAUUCUUACUCCUUUUAUUAAAUGCCUUGAAAUAUGUUUUAUAUUUUGAUCCCAUAUGGUUCUAGCUCUGUGCUUGGUAUAGAAAAUACUCUUGGUGGUCAAUUGGCUGAAUUUUCAUUGGUAAUAUUGUUUUUGCAGGGAAGUCCUUUGAGGUAUAAUAGAUUCAUUGUCUGACAACCAGCCCUUGCAAAGAAGGUCACAGCAUAGCAGACACAGUGGCCGUGAGUAGCCCAAAGUGUAAAAUUUCUACCGUGGCUGUACAGAACCUUGAAUUUGAGGUAAUGAAAUACUGGUAUCAUUUGUCACUGGCAUUGAAGUAUACUGCUGCUUAUGGUUCAGUGAUCUACAAGUCCCUUAGGCCUAGACGUUAUUCUUAUCCAGAAGUAGGGCACACAGAAACUAGCAAUGGAUGGGGGAGUUGGGAGUGAAUUAUAGAGGGAGCUAUAUCAAGAGAAAAUAACAGCUAGGAUGAAAAGCCUCUUUCUAGAAUGAUUUCUCUUUGGAACAGUGUCUUCUCCCUUCCUAGGGAUCAAUGAGUGUUUAACUUAGAAAUAAUGAGAACACAUCAUCAGAAAUACCCCCCUCACAAAUAAAACUAACAGUGGACAGACAAGAGAAGGACCAGCACAUCCUGCAGAACUGAGCUGUCUAGAAAAAAGAGGCCUUUCAUAGUGAGCUGAAGGUGGCUAUUAUUCCUCACUUCCAAGCUACCCUCACUUGCCUGGAGUCUGUCUGUCUGUCUGUCUGCUCCCCCCUCUAAGAAGCAUGCCCACAAGGAAGCAGAGAGGUCACUUCAUGGGCAAAACUGACCUUUAUGUUCAUAAGUCCCACCCAUGUCUCCUUCUUGGUUGACCAUUAGCAUCACCUACCCAUUGGACCUUCCUUUAAAAAAACAAACAAAAAAAAAACUUUGAAAAAAAUAAACACAUUCUGAACGUUGGUUGUGUUCUUUGCUACUAAGUCAUGUGAUGUCUCUACCAAAUGCAGGAGGGCUUAUAGUGGCCCCCAACUUCCUGCUGUCUGUACCUUUGUACAACGUGUGUAGGCAUCUAGGGAGGACCGCUCCAAUGGUGGGUGUGACCUAGAACCUGCAUGGAAAGAAAAGGGAGACUGGUAUUCAAACUCUGGAAGGUUCUCCUGGAAUGGAAGCUUAAGCAUGGAAAAACUUGGGGAA
RNAcentral lists this small RNA (12579 nucleotides) under Rattus norvegicus (Norway rat). RNAcentral describes it as "uncharacterized LOC102553493". Lineage: Eukaryota; Metazoa; Chordata; Mammalia; Rodentia; Muridae. The record is from RNAcentral.